GGCCGCGGGAAUUCGAUUCCGGCCUAACACAUGCAAGUCGAGCGAUGAAGCUUCUUCGGAAGUGGAUUAGCGGCGGACGGGUGAGUAACACGUGGGUAACCUGCCUUAUAGAGGGGAAUAGCCUUUCGAAAGAGAGAUUAAUACCGCAUAAGAUUGUAGCUUCGCAUGGAGCAGCAAUUAAAGGAGCAAUCCGCUAUAAGAUGGACCCGCGGCGCAUUAGCUAGUUGGUGAGGUAACGGCUCACCAAGGCCACGAUGCGUAGCCGACCUGAGAGGGUGACCGGCCACAUUGGGACUGAGACACGGCCCAGACUCCUACGGGAGGCAGCAGUGGGGAAUAUUUCAGAAGGGGGGAAACCCUGAUGCAGCAA
RNAcentral lists this ribosomal RNA (370 nucleotides) under uncultured bacterium. Its description in RNAcentral is "bacterial SSU rRNA". It matches the Rfam family "Bacterial small subunit ribosomal RNA", at positions 46 to 392 of the family's 1533-position model. The record is from RNAcentral.